CGCCACCGCCACCGCCUCCUGGAAAAGUAAAUGGACCCGAGAAGCCUGAUCCUGGAAAAGUAAACGGACCCGAGAAGCCUGAUCCAGGAAAAAUAAAUGGACCGAGAAGCCCGCUCCCGGAAAAGUAAAUGGACCCGAGAACCCGCUCCUGGAAAAAUAAAUGGACCCGAGAAGCCCGCUCCCGGAAAAGUAAAUGGACCUGAGAAGCCUCCUUCUGCAAUACUAAAUGGACCCAAGGAGAAUGGACCAAAGAGGGGCGCAAAGGUGAAGAUCCUUAGGAAGGAGUCUUAUUGAUGUUCAGGUUCUCUCUCUCUCUCUCACACACACACACGCACACACAUUUUUAAUGGCAUAUUCUGUUAUCCAGGACCCAAAGACUCACUAUCUUGUUGUUGUUCGAUUCAACAAAGUAAAUUAUGCAGGUGUGCCUACAAAUAAAUUUGCUCUGGGUGAGAUCCAGGAAGUGAAAUGAGGUCAGUCAUGUACCAAUUUUGAAGUUUGUAUAAUAACAGUCCUAUGUGCACCUUUAUCUAUGAGUAAAUGAACUGAGUGUCAUAGUGCAUGUAUGAUCCAAUUUCACUAGAUUGUCCAUUAUUAUAACUGCUUGCCUUCUACCUUUCUAUAUUGCAUUAAUAACCAAAACUUCCUGGCAUAAAAGAAUUAUAUUGUUAUUUUU
Non-coding RNA from Phoenix dactylifera (date palm), 676 nucleotides. The record is from RefSeq and is a predicted model, not a curated record. NCBI's taxonomy places the organism in Eukaryota, Viridiplantae, Streptophyta, Magnoliopsida, Arecales, Arecaceae.